GAGGGUAUAGCUUAGUGGUAGAUUGUAGAGUAUGUGUCUCUCAUGCACAAGGUCCUGGGUUCAAUCCCCAGUACCUCCA
Molecule: transfer RNA, 79 nt
Organism: Camelus ferus (Wild Bactrian camel)
Lineage: Eukaryota; Metazoa; Chordata; Mammalia; Artiodactyla; Camelidae
Rfam family: tRNA
About the family: Transfer RNA (tRNA) molecules are approximately 80 nucleotides in length.
Source: Rfam